CCGUCUGCCGACCCCUGACAGGCUUAGGAAGGAGCCCUUUCAUACCGCUACAGCUCCGUGUUAGCGGCCGCCCGUGGAGAGGGAACUGUUUCCAUGAAGAAAUACAACUCGUCUUUUUGCUUUUAAUUUCUCUAGAAUGAGUGGACUCAGAAUGGUGGCAAAAGAGGCAAAGUGAGAGUAGGCGUCUCCAAAAUGUCAGGCUGGUGACUGGACCAGGGGCAGGAGGAGCAAAGCAGCUCAAUUACCUGAAGAGCUUCAAAAAGU
This 264-nucleotide long non-coding RNA is filed under the name Homo sapiens (human). Its description in RNAcentral is "HSALNT0101560". Lineage: Eukaryota; Metazoa; Chordata; Mammalia; Primates; Hominidae. The record is from RNAcentral.